UUGUGGAGAUGCUCAUGGGGCCCGUUU
This 27-nucleotide non-coding RNA is filed under the name Bombyx mori (domestic silkworm). The record is from RNAcentral. Lineage: Eukaryota; Metazoa; Arthropoda; Insecta; Lepidoptera; Bombycidae.